Podarcis lilfordi (Lilford's wall lizard) is the source of this 77-nucleotide non-coding RNA. The record is from the annotation of a GenBank genome assembly. NCBI's taxonomy places the organism in Eukaryota, Metazoa, Chordata, Lepidosauria, Squamata, Lacertidae.
UGACUGGCGAAAUCAGUUGGUUACAGCGUGGUGCUGAUAACACCAAGGUCGCAGGUUCAAUUCCUGUAAGGGAAUAU